Molecule: ribosomal RNA, 450 nt
Filed under: uncultured bacterium
Lineage: Bacteria
Description: SSU rRNA
Rfam family: Bacterial small subunit ribosomal RNA
Source: RNAcentral
AGGAUGAACGCUGGCGGUCUGCUUAACACAUGCAAGUCGAACGGAGUACCUCGGUACUUAGUGGCGGACGGGUGAGUAACGCGUGAGAAUCUGCCCUUAGGUCGGGGACAACCAUUGGAAACGAUGGCUAAAUACCGGAUAAGCCGAGAGGUAAAAGAUUAAUUGCCUAGGGAAGAGCUCGCGUCUGAUUAGCUAGUUGGUGAGGUAAAGGCUCACCAAGGCAUCGAUCAGUAGCUGGUCUGAGAGGAUGAUCAGCCACACUGGGACUGAGACACGGCCCAGACUCCUACGGGAGGCAGCAGUGGGGAAUUUUCCGCAAUGGGCGAAAGCCUGACGGAGCAAGACCGCGUGAGGGAGGAAGGCUCUUGGGUUGUAAACCUCUUUUCUUGGGAAGAACAAAAUGACGGUACCCAAGGAAUCAGCAUCGGCUAACUCCGUGCCAGCAGCCGC